Molecule: RNA transcript, 1807 nt
Organism: Xenia sp. Carnegie-2017
Lineage: Eukaryota; Metazoa; Cnidaria; Anthozoa; Malacalcyonacea; Xeniidae
Gene name: tyrosine-protein phosphatase non-receptor type 21-like
Exons: 14
Source: RefSeq, a predicted model, not a curated record
UCUUUAUAUUUGAUUUUGCCCAAAGAAAACGUUAAUAGCUAGAUUUUCGUCAAACUGAGACGACAUACGUUUAAAAUACCAUAGACCUUUUAUCUCAAUGUGAUUAUAGAUAUCAAAAAUGUUUGGAAUUUCACAGUUACUGAUGCGUGUAAAAUCUUGCUGAGAGCGCACAAUAUUGCAACGUGAGAAUGCUGCGAGGGACUAAUUCAACAACAUGGAUUCACGAGUCAAGUCAAUGAUUUUUGAAGUGUUCUCGAAUGUUCCAGGGUAGACUAUAAUGUUGCGAUGAUAUUUGACUGUAUCUGUAGACGAAGAAAGGCAAAACGUAGUGUAGUCAAGGUGAAUGUGCAACAUUUAGAUAACAUCAUAACCGAAUAUAUUUUGAGGAAGAAAUGCACAGGUCAAGAAUGUCUUCAAAAAAUUGCCAAAGAAGUCAACUUGAAAGAGAUUUGGCAUUUUGGUUUAAAAUAUGGUUGCGAUAAGACAUCAAAUGGAAAAUGGUUGGAUCUUGAGAAGCGUCUAAGUAAGGAAAUCAAGCGGGUGGCAAUAGACGAUACUGAAAAUGUAACCAUCUUCCUAAGAAUAAGAUUCUUUGAGACUAACGUGGAAAAGUUGACAGAGGAUACGACAAGGUAUUUUUACUAUUUGCAAUUACGACAAGACAUUCAAGAUGGUAUUCUUCCUUGUAAUGAAAGACAAGCUUUGGAAUUGGCUGCAUUUGCCUUGCAAGCUGAAUAUGGUGACUACGAUGAAACUGAACAUAAAGAAGAAUUCAUUCAGGAAUAUCAACUUUUACCAACGCAUUUUUUAGCUGAAAAAACUGAAAGUGAACUUUAUGAUGAGAUUGCUGCAAAUCAUAUCAAUUGUGUGGGAAUGUCCACAAGUGACGCAGAAAUUGCUUACAUCACGCAUGCGCGUCAGUUAGAAUUCUACGGACACGAAUUUUAUUCUGCAAAGGAUCUGGAUGGUCGUGCUGUAAAAGUUGGACCAUGUGCUUGUGGUGUGUUUGUUAAAUACGACAGCAAUACACCUAUCAUGUACUUUCACUGGCCUGACAUAGUGAACAUGAUUCAUCGCAAGAAAAUGUUUCUUGUUGAAACAUCAACUUUGAAAUCGUGUCUUGAGAUGAAUUCGGUUGAAGAUGCAAAGUAUGUGUGGCAGAGCUGUAUUACUUAUCACCAGUUUCAUAGAAUUAAAGACAGCAGUAAACGAAGCAGUGCAAUCGAUGUUGGAAGUGGCAGAAAGAGUUCAUCAGGAAGAAAUGGCAUUGCUGAUGAAUAUAGUAAUGGGCUAUCAAACUUUGCGUUUGACAAUCCCGUCGUUCAUGACCACAUAGAUGGUGAUCCACAGGCGGGAGAACUUAGCCGUGAAUCAGGUAUUUACAGUUCUUCUGAAUCACACGUGGAUAUCACGACCCAAAACAAUGAAGUCAAGUUUCAAUACGAUGUAAAAGAAUGGAUACCACAGCUGUUCCAAAUGACUUUUUGAUGGCAUCAUAUAAGACUUUCUCAAAUCAGUCGAAGUCAAUUGAUUCGAUACAGGCUCGUAGAUCUCUACCAUGUGCCUCGAGUAACAUUGAUGCUGAAAGGAGAAAUGAAAGGAGUUUCUCCAUGAUUGUACCUACACGUUUAGAAAGGAGCGGUGAUGCAUGUAGCCUUCAAACGUUGGCAACCAGCGGUUACAACACGUCCGCAGAUUCUGAAUUGUCUAGUUCGAAGUCACCUGUAUCCCCAAUAUCUCCUGUGAGUUUAAUCAGCACAAGCUCGUUUCCUUACCAUUCCUACGAAGUCCCUGAUGCUGAUACACA